Non-coding RNA from Cinara cedri, 331 nucleotides. Lineage: Eukaryota; Metazoa; Arthropoda; Insecta; Hemiptera; Aphididae. The record is from the annotation of a GenBank genome assembly.
UUUUUAAUGCUUCUUUUUUUUUAAGUUUUUUUGGAAGUUUUAUACAGUUUUAUUACUUCUUUUUAUUAGUGCUUUUCUUUAGUUUUUUAUUGUUUUAAGUUCCGUACUCUAGUGAUAACAAUGAAUAAAAUAGUGAAAAAAAACUACAGUUUAGUUGUUACUAUGUUCGAAUGAAAAAUAAACGGAUUUACUAAUUUUCUAUCAUCUUUUAUUUUUUUUGUAUGUAGUAUUGAUAACUGGGGAUGCCAUCGAUGUUAGUUAUAACCGUCUUUUUUUAUAUGAUUAUUAUAUAUCUUCAAUUAUGUUAGAGGCAUUAUUGCUACAUUAAUCC